GAUGAAGAACGUAGCGAAAUGCGAUAAGUAAUGUGAAUUGCAGAAUUCAGUGAAUCAUCGAAUCUUUGAACGCACAUUGCGCCCGCCAGUAUUCUGGCGGGCAUGCCUGUUCGAGCGUCAUUACAACCCUCAGGCCCCCGGGCCUGGCGUUGGGGAUCGGCGGAAGCCCCCUGCGGGCACAACGCCGUCCCCCAAAUACAGUGGCGGUCCCGCCGCAGCUUCCAUUGCGUAGUAGCUAACACCUCGCAACUGGAGAGCGGCGCGGCCACGUCGUAAAACACCCAACUUCUGAAUGUUGACCUCGAAUCAGGUAGGAAUACCCGCUGAACUUAAGCAUAUCAAUAAGCGGAGGA
This 353-nucleotide unclassified non-coding RNA is filed under the name soil metagenome. RNAcentral describes it as "partial contains 5.8S ribosomal RNA, internal transcribed spacer 2, and large subunit ribosomal RNA". The stretch from base 1 to 120 matches the Rfam family "5.8S ribosomal RNA", at positions 35 to 154 of the family's 154-position model. The record is from RNAcentral.